GACGAACGCUGGCGGCGUGCUUAACACAUGCAAGUCGAACGGAAAGGCCCCUUCUGGGGUACUCGAGUGGCGAACAGGUGAGUAACACGUGAGUAACCUGCCCUUGACUUCGGGAUAACUUCAGGAAACUGGGGCUAAUACCGGAUAGGAAUCCUUGCUGCAUGGUGGGGGUUGGAAAGCUUCGGCGGUUUUGGAUGGACUCGCGGCUUAUCAGCUUGUUGGUGGGGUAGUGGCUUACCAAGGCUUUGACGGGUAGCCGGCCUGAGAGGGCGACCGGCCACAUUGGGACUGAGAUACGGCCCAGACUCCUACGGGAGGCAGCAGUGGGGAAUAUUGCACAAUGGGCGGAAGCCUGAUGCAGCAACGCCGCGUGCGGGAGGACGGCCUUCGGGUUGUAAACCGCUUUCAGCAGGGGCGAAGCUUGUGGUGACGGUACCUGCAGAAGAAGCACCGGCUAACUACGUG
This 465-nucleotide ribosomal RNA is filed under the name uncultured bacterium. Its description in RNAcentral is "partial 16S ribosomal RNA". It matches the Rfam family "Bacterial small subunit ribosomal RNA", at positions 28 to 507 of the family's 1533-position model. The record is from RNAcentral.